CCUACGGGAGGCAGCAGUGAGGAAUAUUGGUCAAUGGGCGCGAGCCUGAACCAGCCAAGUAGCGUGAAGGAUGACUGCCCUACGGGUUGUAAACUUCUUUUAUAAAGGAAUAAAGUGAGGCACGUGUGCCCUUUUGUAUGUACUUUAUGAAUAAGGAUCGGCUAACUCCGUGCCAGCAGCCGCGGUACUACGGAGGAUCCGAGCGUUAUCCGGAUUUAUUGGGUUUAAAGGGAGCGUAGAUGGGUUGUUAAGUCAGUUGUGAAAGUUUGCGGCUCAACCGUAAAAUUGCAAUUGAUACUGGCAGCCUAGAGUACAGUUGAGGUAGGCAGAAUUCGUGGUGUAGCGGUGAAAUGCUUAGAGAUCACGAAGAACACCGAUUGCGAAGGCAGCUUACUAAACUGCCACUGACAUUGAUGCGCGAAAGUGUGGGUAGCAAACAGGAUUAGAUACCCGUGUAGUC
RNAcentral lists this ribosomal RNA (460 nucleotides) under uncultured bacterium. RNAcentral describes it as "partial 16S ribosomal RNA". It matches the Rfam family "Bacterial small subunit ribosomal RNA", at positions 338 to 795 of the family's 1533-position model. The record is from RNAcentral.